Molecule: transfer-messenger RNA, 353 nt
Filed under: Andreesenella formicacetica
Lineage: Bacteria; Bacillati; Bacillota; Clostridia; Peptostreptococcales; Natronincolaceae
Also listed under: 1 other name
Description: Clostridium formicaceticum transfer-messenger RNA
Rfam family: transfer-messenger RNA
About the family: Bacterial tmRNA, also known as 10Sa RNA or SsrA, is named for its dual tRNA and mRNA-like properties. Its role is to liberate the mRNA from a stalled ribosome. To accomplish this part of the tmRNA is used as a reading frame that ends in a translation stop signal.
Source: RNAcentral
GGGGGCGUACAGGUUUCGACGGGGGUUUGGAGUCUUUAGUAGCGAGCCGUGUUUUGCUUGGUAACACGUCAAAAACUGGGCAUUAAAUAUAAACGCAAACGAUAAUUACGCUUUAGCUGCCUAAUUGCGCAGCUCGUUUCUACUAGACCUCCCACAGUCUAACUAGAAACGUCAUAACUAGUGGGGAACGUCUUAAGGGGUGCCUUGACCUUAAGUUGUACAAUGAGGGCUGGUCGAAUCCAUACUAUGUUGCUGGAGGAUGGAGGAGACGAGAUUCAAAACAGUAACUGCGCUCGGAGAAGCUAAUGGUAAAGGGCCUUCGGACAGGGGUUCGAUUCCCCUCGCCUCCACCA